CUGGAGGAUUGAGGAAACACCAUACAAUCAAGCAGUAUCAGACACCAGGAGGAUCCUAUGAUACCAGCAACAAAUGAUUCUCAGGUUUAUGGAUUCAUCACAUGAAUUUCUUGCAAAUCGAUGUUCCGAUGCAGGCAUUGCAUUUAUCGAGUCCCAGGAAAGUCCGGCCAAAACUGUAGCUGGGUUUGACAUGGGGCACAGAAGAAGGAAAAACCGCUGCUUCUAAGAAAGGACUCCAGCUCAGGGUCAAAAACUGAAUCAGUAUCAAUAAACCUAGAACAUUAGAGCAAAGCUGUUUCAGGCCCCGACGCCCCACCCAUCACCACAUUAGAAAAUAACAACAAGAAGUUCUCAUCUGUACAUUAUGCAGACAAAUGAAGGAUAUCCGUAGGGUAUACAAAGGACACUUACAUCGG
Mauremys reevesii (Reeves's turtle) is the source of this 416-nucleotide long non-coding RNA. RefSeq lists it as uncharacterized. NCBI's taxonomy places the organism in Eukaryota, Metazoa, Chordata, Testudines, Geoemydidae. The transcript is spliced from 4 exons. The record is from RefSeq and is a predicted model, not a curated record.